AAUAAGUGCAGCCAUGGAUAUCCGUGUUCAACGUUUGACCAUUUGUCUUAUUUAAAAAAAUUAUAAAAGAUUAAUCACACAUAAAAUACUAUUCAUAUUUUAUCAUCUAAUAACAAUAAAAAUAUUAAUCAUAAAAAAAUUUCAAAUAAGAUGAAUGGUCAAAUGUUGGAUAUGAACAGUGCAAAACUGCACUUAUU
RNAcentral lists this microRNA precursor (197 nucleotides) under Oryza sativa Japonica Group (Japanese rice). Its description in RNAcentral is "MIR812 microRNA precursor family". It matches the Rfam family "MIR812 microRNA precursor family". The record is from Rfam by way of RNAcentral. Lineage: Eukaryota; Viridiplantae; Streptophyta; Magnoliopsida; Poales; Poaceae.